RNAcentral lists this ribosomal RNA (170 nucleotides) under uncultured archaeon. RNAcentral's name for it is "partial 16S ribosomal RNA". It matches the Rfam family "Archaeal small subunit ribosomal RNA", at positions 593 to 762 of the family's 1478-position model. The record is from RNAcentral.
UAGGAGGCGGGAGAGGCAAGCGGUACUCAGUGGGUAGGGGUAAAAUCCUUUGAUCCAUUGAAGACCACCAGUGGCGAAGGCGGCUUGCCAGAACGCGCUCGACGGUGAGGGAUGAAAGCUGGGGGAGCAAACCGGAUUAGAUACCCGGGUAGUCCCAGCUGUAAACGAUG